UCUGCCUUAUCGGCAAGCGGUUCCAUUAGAGUGCCCAACUUAAUGCUGGCAACUAACGGCAAGGGUUGCGCUCGUUGCGGGACUUAACCCAACAUCUCACGACACGAGCUGACGACAGCCAUGCAGCACCUGUCACCGCGUCCCCGAAGGGAACCCCUGCUUUCACAGGGUAGCACGGGAUGUCAAGACCAGGUAAGGUUCUUCGCGUUGCAUCGAAUUAAACCACAUACUCCACCGCUUGUGCGGGCCCCCGUCAAUUUCUUUGAGUUUUAAUCUUGCGACCGUACUCCCCAGGCGGGGUACUUAAUGCGUUAGCGGCGGCACCGAAAGGGUAAGAACUUCCGACACCUAGUACCCAACGUUUACGGCGUGGACUAC
This 378-nucleotide unclassified non-coding RNA is filed under the name uncultured delta proteobacterium. RNAcentral describes it as "contains 16S-23S intergenic spacer region". Lineage: Bacteria; Deltaproteobacteria. The record is from RNAcentral.